RNAcentral lists this ribosomal RNA (193 nucleotides) under uncultured bacterium. Its description in RNAcentral is "partial 16S ribosomal RNA". It matches the Rfam family "Bacterial small subunit ribosomal RNA", at positions 1298 to 1500 of the family's 1533-position model. The record is from RNAcentral.
UUGUAGGCUGCAACUCGCCUACAUGAAGUCGGAGUUGCUAGUAAUCGCGGAUCAGAAUGCCGCGGUGAAUGCGUUCCCGGGUCUUGUACACACCGCCCGUCACACCAUGGAAGUUGGGGGCGCCCGAAGUUGCCUAAGAAAUAAGGUACCUAAGGCGAAACCAAUGACUGGGGUGAAGUCGUAACAAGGUACC